GAGUUUGAUCGUGGCUCGGAGCGAACGCUGGCGGCAGGCUUAACACAUGCAAGUCGAGCGGGCCCUUCGGGGUCAGCGGCGGACGGGUGAGUAACGUGUGGGAACGUGCCUUCUGGUUCGGAAUAACCCUGGGAAACUAGGGCUAAUACCGGAUACGCCCUUUUGGGGAAAGGUUUACUGCCGGAAGAUCGGCCCGCGUCUGAUUAGCUAGUUGGUGGGGUAAUGGCCUACCAAGGCGACGAUCAGUAGCUGGUCUGAGAGGAUGAUCAGCCACACUGGGACUGAGACACGGCCCAGACUCCUACGGGAGGCAGCAGUGGGGAAUAUUGGACAAUGGGCGCAAGCCUGAUCCAGCCAUGCCGCGUGAGUGAUGAAGGCCUUAGGGUUGUAAAGCUCUUUUAUCCGGGACGAUAAUGACGGUACCGGAGGAAUAAGCCCCGGCUAACUUCGUGCCAGCCGCCGCCGUAAU
RNAcentral lists this ribosomal RNA (469 nucleotides) under uncultured microorganism. RNAcentral describes it as "bacterial SSU rRNA". It matches the Rfam family "Bacterial small subunit ribosomal RNA", at positions 9 to 524 of the family's 1533-position model. The record is from RNAcentral.